GCUAGCGAUUUGGUUCGUCGGAUUCGGCUUUGCCCCCCUCCCUUUUUGUUAUUCCUGUGAUCUGUUAGGUAGGGAGUUGGUUUUGUCUGUCAGAUCUGAUGAUUGUAUCCAUCCCCCACAGCUUUUUUCCAUGUAGAUUUGUUAGGUUCCGCCAUUUCAGGGAUGUGUUUGAUUGUUCUACUAAGCACGGUAGCUGCGGUAGCUCGGAUGUGCGUCAGUUUGAUCUGCUUAUCUGUAAUUGAUUGGUUGUUGGAAUUCGAGCUGUUCAUGUGAGGCUGGCUUGCUUAGUUGUAAUAGUCUGAUGUAUUCAGUCAAUUCGAACAGAUGCAUUCUGUUCCCCGGCCUUUAAUCCCUAGACCAUUUCUCUUCACUGGUAUCGUUUAGUGGGUAUGUGGCUUACUCUGUAAUUCCUAUUUUUGGAUUUACAGUGGUUCACAGUGCAACCCCCAUUGUUUUUUAGAGUGAUUUUCAGUGUAUUCAUACUGGAUUUUCAUUGAUUUUCACUGUAAUCUGUAGUUGAUUUCCAGUGUAAUUUUCCAGUGGAUAGGUAGUAUAUUUGUAGUGUAAAUCCAAAGCAAUUUGUAGUGUAAUCCCCGGUUAUUUUACAGUGUAAUUUCAGUGUAUUUUGUCAGCGGAUUUGCAUUGUAUUUGCUACUGGAAUGACAAUGUAUAUGUCCUAAUAGCAGUGUAUUUUUGUCGGUGGGGUUGCACUGUAUUUGUUAGUAGAAUUACAAUGUAUUUGUCAGGGAUGUACAGUGUAAUUUGAUAGCUGAUUUACAGUGUAAUUGCCAUGGAUUUGCACUGUAUUCGCUCGUGGAAUUACUGUGUAAUUCACUUGAAUUUUUAUAAUGGAAUUGCGUUUUGGAUUUAUAGUGUUUUUGUCAGUGAAUUUACACUGUAAUUGAGUAGCAGAGGAAUUGUGACUGUUCUUCUGAUGCAUCGCUAGUUUGUGUGUUCUUGUGAUGCAUCUGAUUCCAGUGUAUUUUGUUAGAGGAUUUAGACUGUAAUUAUAUUUGGAUUUACACUGUAAUCUUCAUCGGAAUUCCAGUGUAUUUUUCUUAGUGGGUGAUUACAGUGUAUUUACAAUGUAACUCAGUUGGUUUCCACUGUAAUUCGCAGGGGAUUUCUUCACUGUAAUUCUCAGUGGGUUAUGUAGUGAAAUAAAAGAGAUGUAGA
RNAcentral lists this long non-coding RNA (1176 nucleotides) under Triticum aestivum (bread wheat). RNAcentral's name for it is "long non-coding RNA (TAES_LNC020669)". Lineage: Eukaryota; Viridiplantae; Streptophyta; Magnoliopsida; Poales; Poaceae. The record is from RNAcentral.